Molecule: long non-coding RNA, 3371 nt
Organism: Phyllostomus discolor (pale spear-nosed bat)
Lineage: Eukaryota; Metazoa; Chordata; Mammalia; Chiroptera; Phyllostomidae
Exons: 2
Source: RefSeq, a predicted model, not a curated record
GCAGUGAAAAAAUAUCCUCAGGUGAGGAUAAAAAAUUAAAACAUAGGAUACAUCCUAAUGUGGCACAUGUAGUGAGACCCUACCAAUAAAAUAUUGGAAACAUUGCUCUUACAGUAAAAAUCAAGUCAGAGAUGUCUGUUAUUUGCUAGUGAAAUAGACAGCAGUGAGAAAAAGAAAUAAUUAUCACUGUCAGCAUGUGAGAUUGUUGUAUACUUAGACAAUCAAAGUGCGUGUGCUGAACUGUUAAAACUAAGAAUAGCUACAAUGAAAGAUACUGAUAAUACCAAGUGUCGAUGAGGAUGUGGAACAACUAGAGUGGCCACGCUUUGCUGGUGGGAAACACAGAAUGGCACUGCCCCUUUGGAAAACAGAUUGGCGUUUUCUUCAGAAGUUAACAUGCACUGACCAUACAGCCCAUCAGUUCCACUCUUUGGUGUCUGUCUGUGAGAAGUGAAUCACAUAUGUCUACACAAAGACGUCUACAUCCAUGUUCAUGGAGGCAUUAUUCAUGAGUCAAAAGGCAGAAACAAAUAUCCAUCAAUGUCGUUUAGUGAAUAGAUAAAUGACAUUUCCCCCAUCUAUACAAUGUAAUACUGUUUAGCAGUAAGGAUCUACUGAUGCUUACACGGUUGAAUCUCAAAAACAUGCUAAGUGAGAGAAGUGAGGAGCAAAAGACUGAAUACUAUAUGAUUUGUUAUAUUAAAUUCUCAAAAAGGCAAAAUUAUAGAGACAAAGUAUUAGGGAUAGGAACUGACUACAGAUACAAUAGGGAAUUUUUCAGAAUGAUGGAGGGUUCUAAAAUGUGAUUAUACUCAUAAUUGGAUGACUGUGUAUAUUUGCAAAGCUUAAUGAACUGCAUACUUAAAAUGGGAAGGUUUUAUUGUGUGCCAUUUAUACUUCAUCAGAGCUGUGAAACAGACAUGCAGUUGGCAAGCAAGCCUCAGACAUUUCAAGUGAAAUUCCACAUAUGCCUUCCUUUUUCUUUUUAACCUGAUAGAACUAAUAUAUUUUUCUUACUUUAUUUCAAGCAUCUUUUCCCUGAGACCCCAACACAUUUAUAGUAGGUCUGUUGUUGACUUAACAUGAAAGACUUACAUGCUUGUUCCCAAUUUACGUAGAACUUUUUGCCUUGUGGUUAUGUACAAAAAUGAUUAUCUUUUGCUCUACAUACUGAACUGUUUGUAGGUGAAAUGUGAAGUCUAGAAUGUUCUUUAAAAUACUCCAAGAAUGGAAAAAAAUAGAUGUCUAGAUAAAACAAGAUUGAUUGGCAAAUGUUGAUAAUUUUUGAGGCUGGAUGAUGUGCACCUGAGGAUUCAUUAUGCUAUCCUGUGUAAUUAUGUUUACGAUUAUAGUUUUUCAUAAUAAAAAGAAAACACUGAGAACUUACUACAAUGAUAAGGUAAAAUACAAACAUACAAAAUUCAGUAGUUUUCUCAUAUACUAGUAAACGUACACUCCUGUAUCCUCUGACCCCAGAUCCGGGGGUGGAUUUCUUCACAACAGCCUGUGCCCCAACUCUCCAACACAAACAGAAUGUUCCACAGUCAAAUUGUGGUACUAACUGCCUGGAGUGAGCACAGACCUCGCAGGUCGGUCCUCAGCCCCACAGACUGCCCCCAACUGCAGGUCCCAGUUACAAGUCCCAGGUUGUCAUUGUACUUCUGACCAGAUGGCUAUAAAAAAGGGAUUCCCACAGCCCCUUCUUCAGUUCAGUAAUUUGCUGUAAUGGCUCACACACUCAAGGAAACACAUUUAUUGCUUUUUUUCCCAUGAUAUAAUAAAGGAUACAGACGAACAACUAGAUGAAGAAGGACAUAGGGCAAGGUCCGGAAGGGUACCGAGUGCAGGAACUUAGGUCCCCAUGGAGUUGGGGUGUGCCACCCUUUUGGCACAUGGACAUAGAUUUCUGUUCACCAACCUGGAAGGUCUCUGAACCCGUAGUUGAGGAAUUUUUAUGGAGGUUUUGUCACAUGCACAUGAUCCACUAUUAACUCAAUCUGCAGACCCUCUCCCCUCCCCAGAGGAUUGGGGGUGAGGCCCAGAGAUCCAAGCUUCUUUCCAAUGAUGGCUUGGUGUUUCUGGUGCUUAGCCCCCAGUCCGAAGGUGUUCAGCAGCCCACCGAGAGUGGCCUCAUUAGAACAAAGGAGUCUUGCUCCUAUUACCCAGGAAAUUUCAAGGGAUUUAGGAGCUCUGUGUCCGAGUCGGGGGCCGAAAAACAAGUAUAGGAACAAAAGAUGCUCCCAGCACCCCCGCCACUCAGGAAAUUAUAAGAAUUUUAGGAACUUGGGUCAGGAACCAGGGGCAGAAACCAAAUAUAUAUUUCUUACUAUGUCACAACUGGCAAUAACAUGUCAGUAUAAAUAAUGAAAUACAUAAAAUGCCUAGAAUUAAACCUAAAAGAAAUAUGAAAAUCAUAAGACUCUAUUGAGGUUAUGAAAUAUAAAAUAGAGAUAUAAAUGGGAAGUCUUAAUACAUUCGUGCAUGAGAAAACUUAGUGUUUUUAAAUAAUAAUUUCCCCCAAAUUAAUGUACAAACUGAGUUCCAAUGAACAUUUAAAAGGAAUUGUUUUAUUAUUUGAAAAGUUGUUUUCAAGGAUCAUGUGGAAGAGUAAUGGUAAUUAAUAGAAAAGGCUUUCCCUGCAAGAUACCAAAAUGUACUAUAAAAUUUACAACAAUUACUCCAACAAAGAGCCAAACAAAAAUACAACAAAUUUACAACAAAGAGCUCCAACAAAGUGGAGCUCUUUAUCAGCUAACCGCUCAAGGAAAUAAAAAUAGACUCCAUAAAGGAGUGUUGGGGCAAUUUGAUUACUAUGUGGGAAAAGUAAUAUUACUUCACAUCAUACACAAAAAGAAAUCAUAAUAGGGUAUGUAAACGGGAAAAAACAGCAAAGUUCUAAAAGAAAUAUAUGUGACACUAAAGUAAGCAGCAGAUGGAUGACACAGCUACCACUUGAAUAUGAGAAGACCUUGUGCAAUACAGACACAAAGGGCAGCAAUGUACAGAUGGCAGGAGCACAGCACUGAGUGUGGGAAAUGUUCAAGCACCAAUCAGUGAUGAGCAGUUCCCCCAUUAUGAAGCGUAUAUUUCACCUUUAAUUACCAGAAUGAGGCAGAGAUCAUUUGGUAUUUUUAUUUUUACCUGUUCCUCUCUAUUUUUCUUUCCUUUCUGUUGUAUAAGUUUCUUGAUUAUCAAAAGGCUUGUUUUUUGGCAUCCUCACAACUAUGAGAGGUGAUGAAUUUUUGGGAAUUCAUCACCUCCCAUAGAAUUUUUGAAAACAGCCUAAGGCUUAUGUGAGUGUUAGUUAAGUGUUGUUGAACUUAAUAUGGUGGUGUUGCCACAAGACUUAGUAAUCCAAAGGUUUUCUCAAA